This 904-nucleotide ribosomal RNA is filed under the name Hymenoscyphus calyculus. RNAcentral describes it as "eukaryotic LSU rRNA". It matches the Rfam family "Eukaryotic large subunit ribosomal RNA", at positions 40 to 961 of the family's 3401-position model. The record is from RNAcentral. Lineage: Eukaryota; Fungi; Ascomycota; Leotiomycetes; Helotiales; Helotiaceae.
AUAUCAAUAAGCGGAGGAAAAGAAACCAACAGGGAUUACCUCAGUAACGGCGAGUGAAGCGGUAACAGCUCAAAUUUGAAAUCUGGCCCUCUCAGGGUCCGAGUUGUAAUUUGUAGAAGAUGCUUUGGGUGUGGCACCGGUCUAAGUUCCUUGGAACAGGUCGUCAUAGAGGGUGAGAAUCCCGUAUGCGACUGGCUGCCUUCGCCCGUGUAAAGCUCUUUCGACGAGUCGAGUUGUUUGGGAAUGCAGCUCUAAAUGGGUGGUAAAUUUCAUCUAAAGCUAAAUAUAUGCCAGAGACCGAUAGCGCACAAGUAGAGUGAUCGAAAGAUGAAAAGCACUUUGGAAAGAGAGUUAAACAGUACGUGAAAUUGUUGAAAGGGAAGCGCUUGCGACCAGACUCGGGCGCCGUUGAUCAACCUAGGUUCUCCUGGGGGCACUCGGCGGUGUUCGGGCCAGCAUCGGUUCUGGUGGCUGGAUAAAGGCCUUGGGAAUGUAGCUUCUUUCGGGGAGUGUUAUAGCCCUCGGUGCAAUGCAGCCUACCGGGACCGAGGACCGCGCUUCGGCUAGGAUGCUGGCGUAAUGGUUGUAAGCGACCCGUCUUGAAACACGGACCAAGGAGUCUAACAUCUAUGCGAGUGUUUGGGUGUCAAACCCAUACGCGAAAUGAAAGUGAACGUAGGUGAGAACCCGUUAGGGUGCAUCAUCGACCGAUCCUGAUGUCUUCGGAUGGAUUUGAGUAAGAGCAUAGCUGUUGGGACCCGAAAGAUGGUGAACUAUGCCUAAAUAGGGUGAAGCCAGAGGAAACUCUGGUGGAGGCUCGCAGCGGUUCUGACGUGCAAAUCGAUCGUCAAAUUUGGGUAUAGGGGCGAAAGACUAAUCGAACCAUCUAGUAGCUGGUUCCUGC